GGGCCGGUGGUCUAAUGGCAUGACGCAUCCCUUGCACGGAUGAGGCUGAGAGUUCGAGUCUCUCCCGGUCCA
RNAcentral lists this transfer RNA (72 nucleotides) under Nanobdellota archaeon. RNAcentral describes it as "tRNA-Ala". It matches the Rfam family "tRNA". Rfam says of the family: Transfer RNA (tRNA) molecules are approximately 80 nucleotides in length. Their secondary structure includes four short double-helical elements and three loops (D, anti-codon, and T loops). Further hydrogen bonds mediate the characteristic L-shaped molecular structure. tRNAs have two regions of fundamental functional importance: the anti-codon, which is responsible for specific mRNA codon recognition, and the 3' end, to which the tRNAs corresponding amino acid is attached (by aminoacyl-tRNA synthetases). tRNAs cope with the degeneracy of the genetic code in two manners: having more than one tRNA (with a specific anti-codon) for a particular amino acid; and 'wobble' base-pairing, i.e. permitting non-standard base-pairing at the 3rd anti-codon position. Lineage: Archaea; Nanobdellati; Nanobdellota. The record is from RNAcentral.